RNAcentral lists this ribosomal RNA (406 nucleotides) under uncultured bacterium. RNAcentral's name for it is "partial 16S ribosomal RNA". It matches the Rfam family "Bacterial small subunit ribosomal RNA", at positions 30 to 526 of the family's 1533-position model. The record is from RNAcentral.
AUUGAACGCUGGCGGCAGGCUCAACACAUGCAAGUCGAGCGCGCGGCGGUCGGGUGAGUAAUGUCUGGGAAACUGCCUGAUGGAGGGGGAUAACUACUGUUCACGGUAGCUCAUACCGCAUACCAUCAGAUUUGCCCAGAUGGGAUUAGCUAGUAGGUUGGGUAAUGGCUCACCUAGGCGACGAUCCCUAGCUGGUCUGAGAGGAUGACCAGCCACACUGGAACUGAGACACGGUCCAGACUCCUACGGGAGGCAGCAGUGGGGAAGAUUGCACAAUGGGCGCAAGCCUGAUGCAGCCAUGCCGCGUGUGUGAAGAAGGCCGUCGGGGUGUAAAGCACUUUCAGCGAGGAGGCGUUACUCGCAGAAGAAGCACCGGCUAACUCCGUGCCAGCAGCCGCGGUAAUUC